RNAcentral lists this unclassified non-coding RNA (379 nucleotides) under uncultured bacterium. RNAcentral's name for it is "contains 16S-23S intergenic spacer region". The record is from RNAcentral.
UCCGGUUUGUCACCGGCAGUCCCAUUAGAGUGAUCAACUGAAUGUAGCAACUAAUGGCAAGGGUUGCGCUCGUUGCGGGACUUAACCCAACAUCUCACGACACGAGCUGACGACAGCCAUGCAGCACCUGUGUUCAGGCUCCCUUUCGGGCACUCCUCCAUCUCUGCGAGCUUCCUAGCAUGUCAAGGGUAGGUAAGGUUUUUCGCGUUGCAUCGAAUUAAUCCACAUAAUCCACCGCUUGCGCGGGUCCCCGUCAAUUCCUUUGAGUUUUAGCCUUGCGGCCGUACUCCCCAGGCGGGGCGCUUAAUGCGUUAGCUGCGGCACGGAGGACGUGGAAUGUCCCCCACACCUAGCGCCCAACGUUUACGGCGUGGACUAC